CCUUUCGGGCGGCGCGGCGCCCGCUGCCUGCAGGCCUUUGGCACCUCCCGGAGGCCCUGUCCCUCCCCGUGUGCCUGCGGACCUCCGCGUGCGUGCGGGGGGACGGGUCUGGGUGAUGAGCUUCCUCCCCGAUGGCGACUAGGGGCCGCCGAAACCCGCGAGAAACACGCCUGCGUGUGUUGGAAAAGUUUCGGGUCGGGAGGGAAGGCUGGGAGCCUCCUCUCCCGGCCCUCGGCGGGCGCGGCUUCUCCUCGCCGGCGGCUUUUGCUCCCGGUGCCCUCCUCCCUCCCAGCCAGCCCUUCCUUCUUCGCCUCGGCCCCGCGCUCGGUGUCGCGGCCUCUCGGGCCCGGAGACGACGUGCGCGAGAAGCGGCGGCCGGGGCGCCGCGCUGCGGACGGAGGUCCUUUCACCUUCCCUGUUUUAUAAAUGGCAAACCUUUCCUAAACAAGCUGUCCAUCCAACCGCCAAAACCACAGGACAAGAAUUUCUACUCAAGGGGGAAACAGCAAGAAAGAAAAAAAGGUCACCAUUCCUAGAGCAGAGUUGCUUCUGGGAAGCAAUUGCCUGGCCAGAGACUACAUUUCCCAGCCUCCCUUGCACGGAUGUGGGACUAUGGACUAGCUCUUAUCAGUGAAACAAGAGCAGAGCUGAAGAGGUGCUGUAUUCCAGGGACCAUGACACCUCACCUUCCGGCUCCUGCAUCCUUCCUGCAGUAUCUAAGGGGACAGUGAGUUUAGAUGCCACUGAUACAAUCCCAACAUCACAAAAUGGAAGGAGUUUGGGUUCCAGAGUAACCAGCCUCACAGGAGAGCUGCCAGACUUGCCUUGGACAGUGACACGAGGGAGAAACAAACGUAUAUGUGAGAUCGCUGAGGUCAUGUUACCGCGACUGAAGUAAGAUAAGGUGGUGUCCGGAGUAUGGGGUCUGGAGCUUGACUACCUGGAUUCAAAUCCCUGCUCAGUCAUCUCUUGGCUGUGUGACUUAAGGUAAGUUACUUACCCUCUCUGUGCCUCAAUGUCUUCAUCUGGUGGAUGGAGCUCACAGACUCUAGUCUGUCAUAGGGUAGCUGUGAAGAUUAGACGAGUCGAUGCAUGUAGAGAGCUUCUAACAGUGCUUGACCUUGAGCAGCCAUUCAGUACAUUAUACAUUAGCAAGGUGGGAUAAGGAAAUGGGGGUUUGGGAAGGUGAAUGGCUGACUCCAAAGCACUUACGUUGGGAUCCACAGUGGAAACUCUUCUAAUCUUUUAUCAACAACCAGAUGAGAAGAUACAUCUGCUUCUGCUUCUAAGAGUCGGUGAUUCUCAUCCUUCUCUCUGCACUUGCCCUUGCCGUGUCCUUGGUCAGCACAGAGGAAGGACAACAGCCCAUCUCCCUCACAUCGGAAGUGGCUCCACAAGUUGGCCUUCACUGCCAUCAACCCUAACAGGUGUGGUGCUCUAUCUCCACAGUCCUCCAGAGCGCCCUCAAGUCCCUCAGGGUGUCUUUACUCCAAGAAGGGGUUCUAGACUAGACAAGCAGAGGUGUUGCAGAAAGGAAGAUACUGCAAAGGAUUCAGGCAGCAAAGGGUGUGCUCCCCACACUGGGGAAGACAUCUGGGCAGAAGGGCCUGGGCUGGACCUCACAUCCAUCCCUCUUCCCUUGGGGUCCUUGACCACCCUUGAGAAUGGCACCUACAUGCUCUAAUUCUCCAUAAAAUCCAGAGGCAAAAUGUCCCUGCUGUAAAGACCUUGAACCCUUUUUGGGAAGGUUUUAUGAACUUAAUAUCAUGGGUUGCUCUAACCCCAACCUUUGUCCUGACAGCAUCUGCUCAGGGAGUUUGAGAUUCAGCCAGUCUGUAAAGAGCUUCAGAUCCAGGGCUUUGAGGUGGGGAGAAGUGGUCACCUUGGAGAAAGCAGGAAACUGUGGCCAGCUGGGGCAUUCUUUGCUAUAGAUUCCAAGAGACAAACUUGCUGAUCCCAGGUCAAGUCUGCCCCUGCUUCCCUGCAUCUAGAACCAUCUCUGGCUCCACCUCCCAUUAACACCCCAGAACAGAUUCCCUACCCACCUCCUCAAGAAGAACAUUGCCUCCGGGGAUUUUCUAAGAGUUUUUAGGAUAAGCAGCAGUUAGAAGCUAACAAUAAGUAAAAUUUCCAGAAAUCAAGAGAAACUUGCAAUGUUCCUUGACACUUUAAAUGAUGCACUUGAAACAAGAGGCUUACAUUAGGAUCUAAAUUAGAGUUCUUGAGUGGCUUUUUGUAUUUUUUCUUUCACGUUAACCUGACUACAACUUUAUCUUCUCCAUUCACUUCCAAGAAGUCCUUAUAUAAUAAAGAGUUGAAGGNGCCAAUAAAAAGUUGCUUCCAGAGUUAUAAAGUCAGUUUUCUUAACCUCUCAAUCUCAACUCAACUCAAAUUACAAAGUUUACAUGCCUUUGGGGAUGGCUGUAUUAAGUAAAUAGAGAGGAAUGGUCACAUUCAGUGUAAGCUAAAACACCCAAGGCUGGCAGUAGGAAAAGGAGCUACCUACCUAUCAGGUCUUUCAUAAAGCCAGUCCCUUAAGUAGAAAGAAUAAAGUUCUCUCAAGACUUACCCUAUGGACUGCCUUUCACAGCUGGUUCAUAUUUAUAAGCCAAUUUGU
This 2617-nucleotide long non-coding RNA is filed under the name Sus scrofa (pig). RNAcentral describes it as "lncRNA (ENSSSCG00040022431.1)". The record is from RNAcentral. Lineage: Eukaryota; Metazoa; Chordata; Mammalia; Artiodactyla; Suidae.